RNAcentral lists this ribosomal RNA (464 nucleotides) under uncultured bacterium. Its description in RNAcentral is "bacterial SSU rRNA". It matches the Rfam family "Bacterial small subunit ribosomal RNA", at positions 29 to 524 of the family's 1533-position model. The record is from RNAcentral.
AACGAACGCUGGCGGCAGGCCUAACACAUGCAAGUCGAACGCCGUAGCAAUACGGAGUGGCAGACGGGUGAGUAACGCGUGGGAACAUACCCCUCGGUUCGGAAUAACUCAGGGAAACUUGAGCUAAUACCGGAUACGUCCGAGGUUUUAAUCGACCUUGGAGAAAGAUUUAUCGCCGGAGGAUUGGCCCGCGUCUGAUUAGCUUGUUGGUGAGGUAAUGGCUCACCAAGGCGACGAUCAGUAGCUGGUCUGAGAGGAUGAUCAGCCACAUUGGGACUGAGACACGGCCCAAACUCCUACGGGAGGCAGCAGUGGGGAAUAUUGGACAAUGGGCGAAAGCCUGAUCCAGCCAUGCCGCGUGAGUGAUGAAGGCCUUAGGGUUGUAAAGCUCUUUUACCCGGGAAGAUAAUGACGGUACCGGGAGAAUAAGCCCCGGCUAACUUCGUGCCAGCAGCCGCUGUAAC